RNAcentral lists this ribosomal RNA (490 nucleotides) under uncultured bacterium. RNAcentral describes it as "partial 16S ribosomal RNA". It matches the Rfam family "Bacterial small subunit ribosomal RNA", at positions 30 to 507 of the family's 1533-position model. The record is from RNAcentral.
AUUGAACGCUGGCGGCAGGCCUAACACAUGCAAGUCGAUCGGUAACAGGAAGAAGCUUGCUUCUUUGCUGACGAGUGGCGGACGGGUGAGUAAUGUCUGGGAAACUGCCUGAUGGAGGGGGAUAACUACUGGAAACGGUAGCUAAUACCGCAUAACGUCGCAAGACCAAAGAGGGGGACCUUCGGGCCUCUUGCCAUCGGAUGUGCCCAGAUGGGAUUAGCUAGUAGGUGGGGUAACGGCUCACCUAGGCGACGAUCCCUAGCUGGUCUGAGAGGAUGACCAGCCACACUGGAACUGAGCCACGGUCCAGACUCCUACGGGAGGCAGCAGUGGGGAAUAUAUCACAAUGGGCGCAAGCCUGAUGCAGCCAUGCCGCGUGUAUGAAGAAGGCCUUCGGGUUGUAAAGUACUUUCAGCGGGGAGGAAGGGAGUAAAGUUAAUACCUUUGCUCAUUGACGUUACCCGCAGAAGAAGCACCGGCUAACUCCGUG